This 194-nucleotide ribosomal RNA is filed under the name uncultured bacterium. RNAcentral's name for it is "partial 16S ribosomal RNA". It matches the Rfam family "Bacterial small subunit ribosomal RNA", at positions 1308 to 1500 of the family's 1533-position model. The record is from RNAcentral.
CAACUCGACACAUGAAGCUGGAAUCGCUAGUAAUCGCGAAUCAGAAUGUCGCGGUGAAUACGUUCCCGGGUCUUGUACACACCGCCCGUCACACCAUGGGAGUUGGCAACGCCCGAAGUCAGUGACCCAACCUUAACAGGAGGGAGCUGCCGAAGGCGGGGCUGAUAACUGGGGUGAAGUCGUAACAAGGUACC